UACGUAGGGGGCAAGCGUUGUCCGGAUUUAUUGGGCGUAAAGAGCUCGUAGGUGGUUCGGUAAGUCGGAUGUGAAAUCUCCAGGCUCAACCUGGAGGGGUCAUUCGAUACUGCCGUGACUAGAGGUCGGUAGGGGAGUGUGGAAUUCCUGGUGUAGCGGUGAAAUGCGCAGAUAUCAGGAGGAACACCGGUGGCGAAGGCGGGUCUCUGGGCCGAUAUUGACGCUGAGGAGCGAAAGCGUGGGGAGCGAACAGG
RNAcentral lists this ribosomal RNA (254 nucleotides) under uncultured bacterium. RNAcentral describes it as "partial 16S ribosomal RNA". It matches the Rfam family "Bacterial small subunit ribosomal RNA", at positions 524 to 776 of the family's 1533-position model. The record is from RNAcentral.